Molecule: ribosomal RNA, 814 nt
Filed under: uncultured archaeon
Lineage: Archaea
Description: bacterial SSU rRNA
Rfam family: Archaeal small subunit ribosomal RNA
Source: RNAcentral
GUCAUUGUAGCAAUACAAGGCAUACGGCUCAGUAACGCGUAGUCAACCUAACCUAUGGACGGGAAUAACCUCGGGAAACUGAGAAUAAUUCCCGAUAGAACAUUAUACCUGGAAUGGUUUAUGUUCCAAAUGAUUUAUCGCCGUAGGAUGGGACUGCGGCCUAUCAGUUUGUUGGUGAGGUAAUGGCCCACCAAGACUAUUACAGGUACGGGCUCUGAGAGGAGUAGCCCGGAGAUGGGUACUGAGACACGGACCCAGGCCCUAUGGGGCGCAGCAGGCGAGAAAACUUUGCAAUGUGCGAAAGCACGACAAGGUUAAUCCGAGUGAUUUGUGCUAAACGAAUCUUUUGUUAGUCCUAGAAACACUAACGAAUAAGGGGUGGGCAAGUUCUGGUGUCAGCCGCCGCGGUAAAACCAGCACCUCAAGUGGUCAGGAUGAUUAUUGGGCCUAAAGCAUCCGUAGCCGGCUCUGUAAGUUUUCGGUUAAAUCUGUACGCUCAACGUACAGGCUGCCGGGAAUACUGCAAAGCUAGGGAGUGGGAGAAGUAGACGGUACUCGGUAGGAAGUGGUAAAAUGCUUUGAUCUAUCGAUGACCACCUGUGGCGAAGGCGGUCUACUAGAACACGUCCGACGGUGAGGGAUGAAAGCUGGGGGAGCAAACCGGAUUAGAUACCCGGGUAGUCCCAGCUGUAAACUAUGCAAACUCAGUGAUGCAUUGGCUUGUGGCCAAUGCAGUGCUGCAGGGAAGCCGUUAAGUUUGCCGCCUGGGAAGUACGUACGCAAGUAUGAAACUUAAAGGAAUUGGCGGGGGAGC